This 3014-nucleotide unclassified non-coding RNA is filed under the name Homarus americanus (American lobster). Its description in RNAcentral is "uncharacterized LOC121877037, transcript variant X3". Lineage: Eukaryota; Metazoa; Arthropoda; Malacostraca; Decapoda; Nephropidae. The record is from RNAcentral.
GCCGCCAAUUGUUUACAUACGAGACCAAACCAACAGCAUCUGAGCCUCCGAGACAAGACACCCAGUAACAGAGAGACAAAUAUCAAAUAUAAAUAACUAUAAUAAUGUGACAGUAUUCAGAGAGUACAAGCAACACCUGUAGGGUACAACAACCAUGCCUAGGAAAAGAGGGUCUGAUUUGUCACGGCUAUCAAAAGCUGCAAAGAAAAUAAAGCAAAAACGUAAAGCAGCGUUGAAGGAAAAAAGAGAAAAGCAGUUAAUAGACAUAUAUAAAAAAAUGCAAGAGCUGCAACGGGAAGAAAGUGUUGUACAGAGUAAACAUGAUGCAAUGGCUGGUGUAAAGAAAUACAUGAAGAUAGGAGCUACAUGCAGAUGUAGAGAAAUUGCAAAAUUAUUUAAAGAUCGAAGAAAAAAUGAGCAAGUAAGAUGUCUUCCUGUGAUAAAGAGAGAAGCACCUGAAAACCUUCUUAAACACAGCCAACCAAUACAUAAUGAAGCAGAAGAUGGAGGAUACUCAAAUGUUGAUGAAGACCCACUGGUAGAUAAAGACCAGCUUCUAAACAACUUGAUAUCUUUUGUUGAAGUAAAACCUGCUUUAUGAGUCAGUGGUUGGACACAAGAAGCAAAUCAGACGUACAGAGUCAACUGGAGAACGGAGGAGACGUCGUGGUCGGCAGCUAGAGAGACUGACUGAAGAACAGAGACAAGCCAAACAAAAGGAAGAUGCAAUAGCAAAAAGAAGUUACCGUAAGCGUAAGCUCCAAAAUAUGACUGAAGAGCAACAAAGAGCUCAUCAUGCUGCCGAAGCUGAAGCACAACGGUUGCGUCGUCAUCUCCGUAUGAAAAGAAUGACUGAAGAACAGCUUAAGGGACACCGUGCAGCACAGGCAGCGUCAAAAAGAAGGAAAUAUCAUUUACAGAAACAAACAAAAUCUGAAAAUGAACUACAAAUGCAUCAUACAGUUAAAGUUACUUUACAAAAAUAUCAUAAGCAAGCUAGUAUAAAAAAAAAUAUAAGCUCAUCCCGUAUAGUAGCAGCCAAGACAACAAAACAAUUCAGCUGUGCCAAAUGAAUGAUGGAAUUGAGGAAGAAAUAGGACAAUAUGUACCUGCAUCGGCUUCACCACAGGGAGAAUUACAGCAGUCUACAAAAGAAAAUACUGGACUAUCCAUGCUCAGCAACAUCCUGCAGCAGAAGACACCACACCUUAUAAUCUGAUGUUGCAGUUUAUGAUGCAAGCACAACAGUAUUCAGAAGCACUGAACCAUGUUGAAGGUGAAGACACAGUUAUAAAACAAGAGAUUAAAUAAUUCCAUUAAUUCUCAUCAAGAUGGAACAAAUAGUGAGGAACAUCAUAUGAAUGCUUAGUGUUGGGUCAGCCACAGGAGGAUAUAACUGAACAUGAGAACAAGGACACUGCCUCCUAACAUAACUGAACAUGAGAAUAAGGACACUGUCUCUUUGCAUACAGAACAGGAGAACAAGGACACUGUCUCCUAGCAUACAAAACAGGAGUACAAGGACACUGUCUCUUAACAUAACAGAACAUGAAAAUGACGUCACUAGUGUGUUUUAGCUCAUGUUACUGAUCAUCAACUAAACAAUUGGACAAAAUAUUCCAUUCCAGGUUGUCAUGAACCCUCAGACAUAUGAUUAGCUUCCACAUGAGAAGACAUUACUGUAUGUAUAUUCUCCACCAGUGGAUAUUUGACAGGCAAAAACUAAAACAGUAUGAGCCAAACAUUAGGUGUAGAAAGACCCUAAGAGUUAGUUGGCCAAGGAGACAGCUAAAGACCCUAUGAGUUACCGGGUAGUUGGCCAGGGAGACAGCUGUAUCCUUAGUAUUUGCGGUUUUGACAAGUGGGUCAUUAUCAAGUGACCUGUGAAGUCCAUAGCAAUAGAUAACCCCUUAAAUUUUUUUAAUGGCAGACUACAUUACCCAGAUGGACAGUGUCGGAUUGUGUUUUUGGUUGCAAGCGGCACAACUCGCCCACUUGAGUUAGACAUGCACAGUAUACAGUACAGUAUAUUAUAACACUGGACUUACAUUUUAUCCAGUUGUCAUCAGCAUGACCAAUGAGGAUUUAGGACAAAAGUGCAAAAUCUUGGAUAGUUUUUAUCAGUAUCCAAAAUGACUGUCUAACUUCAUAAUCAGAAUUUCAUAAAGGAGAAAUUUUAUAACCUAGACUUGACUAGAAUGACUCAUAAAUUUGCUCACCAAAGGCUUGGGGCUCAGGACCUAGGGACGCCAUAACCAAACAGCAGCUGAAGCAACCCUGACCCGAGAAGAAGCAGGAAAGAAACUAAACUCAUGUCAAAUCCAGCUUUAGCAGUUUUUGCCAAAUAGAACUUUGUUUCUUCGCCUUCAACUGUGUCCAGCUCCUAUUUAGAUUUUUCUUUAGUGGUAUGGAUUUCACAGAUCACUCAUUUUUCCCCUGUUAUAAAAAAUAUUAAAUUUUUUAGCAUAAAACUAUGACCGACUUAGUUUUCUCUCACUGAAAUGGUUACACACACACACACCUGAAUUAAUUAUGCCUCGGAGCAGCUUCAUUAUCCAGACUGAAAUUGGAUUUAAGUGUAAAGGGAACAUCAUAUUAAAGAGGUACUGUAUAAAUACCAUUUGGUGGAAGUACGGACCUGGUACAAGUCAUGAUUUGUCUGUGUCUUCAAUGUUUGACCCUGAUAAUGGAAGAUAGUGUGUAUUCUUUCCCAGCUACGAGAUAAUUGUGGGUAUUUAUUAUACUCGGGUACAGUACAAAAUAAUGGAGGAUACAGUAAUUGUUUUAAUUUUACUUAUCAUAUUUUCUGACCUCAUGUACGUGGAUGGUAAGGAAUGUUUGUUAAUAAGGCACUCAUAUGUGCACCAUCAGAAAUUUUGGUUCAGUUUGCAUUGAAUGUAUUCUGAAGGUUUCAUGUACUGUAUAGAGGAGUGUUUGGAACUUUGAUGUCUCCAUAGAUAGUCCGCCUGAAAGUAAAAUUAUGUAUUUAUGGACUAAUAAAACUAUUCUUCUAA